GAAAUUUACAAUGCGGGAAACCGUGAUAAGGGGACACCGAGUGCCAGCAUCAUAUGCUGCUGUCCAGAUGUGUAAACUACAUCUGUUAGCAAGGGCCGGGCAAGACCGGUGCCAGCCGCCGCGGUAACACCGGCGGCCCGAGUGGUGAUCGUGAUUAUUGGGUCUAAAGGGUCCGUAGCCGGUUUGGUCAGUCCUCCGGGAAAUCUGAUAGCUCAACUAUUAGGCUUUCGGGGGAUACUGCCAGACUUGGAGCCGGGAGAGGUAAGAGGUACUACAGGGGUAGGAGUGAAAUCUUGUAAUCCCUGUGGGACCACCUGUGGCGAAGGCGUCUUACCAGAACGGGUUCGACGGUGAGGGACGAAAGCUGGGGGCACGAACCGGAUUAGAUACCCGGGUAGUCCCAGCCGUAAACGAUGCUCGCUAGGUGUCAGGCAUGGCGCGACCGUGUCUGGUGCCGCAGGGAAGCCGUGAAGCGAGCCACCUGGGAAGUACGGCCGCAAGGCUGAAACUUAAAGGAAUUGGCGGGGGAGCACAACAACGGGUGGAGCCUGCGGUUU
This 557-nucleotide ribosomal RNA is filed under the name uncultured Methanosarcina sp. Its description in RNAcentral is "bacterial SSU rRNA". It matches the Rfam family "Archaeal small subunit ribosomal RNA", at positions 343 to 903 of the family's 1478-position model. The record is from RNAcentral. Lineage: Archaea; Methanobacteriati; Methanobacteriota; Methanomicrobia; Methanosarcinales; Methanosarcinaceae.